This is a long non-coding RNA of Amphimedon queenslandica, 504 nucleotides long. RefSeq lists it as uncharacterized. The record is from RefSeq and is a predicted model, not a curated record. The transcript is spliced from 2 exons. NCBI's taxonomy places the organism in Eukaryota, Metazoa, Porifera, Demospongiae, Haplosclerida, Niphatidae.
CUAAAGACCAUAUAGGUGACAUCCAGCCGGCAUCUGCAGGCACUAUUGCUUCAAACACAGGACCAAUUUCUCCAGAUGAUGAGGAGAGCAAAUCAGGUGGAGAAGUUCUACGAGAAAACUUCGAUACACUUUCUGACAUCCUGGCAGCUCCAAAUAAUCUUUCAGCGAUCAUCAUGAGCUUAUAUGCAAAAAAGCUAAUUUCUGAUACAACUACAACUGAGUGUAUGAAUGAUGGCAGACAAGUUCAAGAUAGAUGUGCUUCAUUACUGUUUGCUCUCAAAGCUACCAUUGAUGGGAAACCUCAGGCAAUGAAUACUUUAAUUGAAGCAUUGAAAAAUAAUGAAGCAUUUAAAGAAAUUGCUCAUAAAAUGGACUUGGAAGUAUCAUACCGCAAUUAUACAAACCCUUAGGGAUUUAGUUUCAGCUCGGUUAAUAAUACUGUUUGUAGUUUUUGUGGUUUUAAUUUUUUCAAUGUCUUUUUGGGUAUUAUGUUAGUAAAUUGUA